CCUACGGGCGGCAGCAGUGAGGAAUAUUGGUCAAUGGUCGGAAGACUGAACCAGCCAUGCCGCGUGCAGGAAUAAGGCCCUAUGGGUCGUAAACUGCUUUUGUGGUGGAGCAAUAAGGCGUACGAGUACGUCGAUGAGAGUACAUCACGAAUAAGCAUCGGCUAACUCCGUGCCAGCAGCCGCGGUAAUACGGAGGAUGCAAGCGUUAUCCGGAUUUAUUGGGUUUAAAGGGUGCGUAGGCUGUGCAGCAAGUCAGCGGUGAAAGCCCGGGGCCUAACUCCGGAACUGCCGUUGAUACUGUUGUGCUGGAAUACGGAUGCCGUGGGAGGAAUGAGUAGUGUAGCGGUGAAAUGCAUAGAUAUUACUCAGAACACCGAUUGCGAAGGCAUCUCACGAAUCCGUUAUUGACGCUGAGGCACGAAAGCGUGGGGAUCAAACAGGAUUAGAUACCCGUGUAGUC
RNAcentral lists this ribosomal RNA (460 nucleotides) under uncultured bacterium. Its description in RNAcentral is "bacterial SSU rRNA". It matches the Rfam family "Bacterial small subunit ribosomal RNA", at positions 338 to 795 of the family's 1533-position model. The record is from RNAcentral.